RNAcentral lists this small RNA (28 nucleotides) under Bombyx mori (domestic silkworm). RNAcentral's name for it is "ovarian small RNA-38279". Lineage: Eukaryota; Metazoa; Arthropoda; Insecta; Lepidoptera; Bombycidae. The record is from RNAcentral.
UUUCAUCUACAAAGGAUUUGAGGUACUC